CGCCGUAGUCUCUAGUAGAUUAUAUGACAAUAUACGGAGUAGACACGUGGUACCGUGGGUUUCUUGUCAAGGUACUUGUGGAAAACCCGAGAGAAAACCUCUCCUCAUCUCUGAGUAGAAUAUCAUCAAACAAUCACCUCUUCCCUUCCAGAUUAUUUCAUUGAUAAGGAGUCAGGAUCCUACACACUGGACUGUAAGUUGGUCAUGCAUGGAAUCAUGUCUAUGUUGGAGUUUUGUUAGGGGUGGGGCAAGACUAGAGUUCUGUCAGCUUUUACCUAAAGUUGAACUACACGCUCAUUUAAAUGGAUCGAUUAGUUCCGAUACUAUGCGUAAGCUGAUUGAGCUCAAGUCCAAGAAAUGGCUUUUAGGAGGAAGAGAUGAGAGUUUUGCUGAUUCUAAUCCAAACAGUUGUAAAACAGUUAUUAAUGACAAAGGAGAGAAAUC
Molecule: long non-coding RNA, 444 nt
Organism: Amphimedon queenslandica
Lineage: Eukaryota; Metazoa; Porifera; Demospongiae; Haplosclerida; Niphatidae
Exons: 3
Source: RefSeq, a predicted model, not a curated record